AUUGAACGCUGGCGGCAUGCUUUACACAUGCAAGUCGAACGGUAACAGGCCUUCGGGUGCUGACGAGUGGCGAACGGGUGAGUAAUGCAUCGGAACGUACCCAGAGGUGGGGGAUAACGCAGCGAAAGCUGUGCUAAUACCGCAUGUGAUCUGAGGAUGAAAGCGGGGGACCGAGCAGCAAUGUUUGGCCUCGCGCCUUUGGAGCGGCCGAUGUCGGAUUAGCUAGUUGGUGGGGUAAAGGCCUACCAAGGCGACGAUCCGUAGCUGGUCUGAGAGGACGGUCAGCCACACUGGGACUGAGACACGGCCCAGACUCCUACGGGAGGCAGCAGUAGGGAAUUUUGGACAAUGGGCGCAAGCCUGAUCCAGCAAUGCCGCGUGCGGGAAGAAGGCCUUCGGGUUGUAAACCGCUUUUGGCAGGAACGAAACGGUGUCCGCUAAUACCGGGCGCUAAUGACGGUACCUGCAGAAUAAGCACCGGCUAACUACGUG
Molecule: ribosomal RNA, 492 nt
Filed under: uncultured bacterium
Lineage: Bacteria
Description: partial 16S ribosomal RNA
Rfam family: Bacterial small subunit ribosomal RNA
Source: RNAcentral